UACAGGAGAGACAAACGUUAUUCGUCGUUAUUGGGUGUAAAGGGUAUGUAGAUGGUUUUUCAUGUUAAAUUUAUUAAAAAAAAAAAUAUAAUUUUUUUGUAAGUAAAUUAAUAGUAUAAACUAGAGUUACUUAAAAAAUAAUAAAAUUUCUAAUGUAAAGUUAAAAAUUGUAGAUAUUAGGAGGAAGUCCAUAAACGAAUGUAAUUAUUUAAAGGUAACUGACAUUAAUGAUACGUAGGUUAGGGGAGCAAACAAG
RNAcentral lists this ribosomal RNA (256 nucleotides) under uncultured bacterium. RNAcentral's name for it is "partial 16S ribosomal RNA". It matches the Rfam family "Bacterial small subunit ribosomal RNA", at positions 524 to 776 of the family's 1533-position model. The record is from RNAcentral.